UGUGUAGUGUGUGAGAAGAGAGAUAUAGUGUGUAUAUUUAUAAAGAGAGUUUUUUCUCUUUAUACAA
Molecule: transfer RNA, 67 nt
Filed under: Xylocopa appendiculata
Lineage: Eukaryota; Metazoa; Arthropoda; Insecta; Hymenoptera; Apidae
Description: tRNA-Tyr
Source: RNAcentral